GGGGAUGUGGCUCAAGCGGUAGCGCGCUCACCUGGUCUGUGUGUGGCCUGGGUUCGAUCCUCAGCACCACA
Molecule: transfer RNA, 71 nt
Filed under: Marmota monax (woodchuck)
Lineage: Eukaryota; Metazoa; Chordata; Mammalia; Rodentia; Sciuridae
Description: tRNA.Thr
Source: RNAcentral